Molecule: long non-coding RNA, 1509 nt
Organism: Drosophila mojavensis
Lineage: Eukaryota; Metazoa; Arthropoda; Insecta; Diptera; Drosophilidae
Exons: 3
Source: RefSeq, a predicted model, not a curated record
CGGGUGCGCCUGCUGCUACGCAUUUCAAAUUUUUCACUUUUAUACAUCUCGUUUUUAAUAUUUUUUCAAGUGGCCCCCAUUAAACGUGGAGCACUGGCCUAAUUGACGCUUCGCUCCACUGUCAUAUUUACCUGAUGUAACGACGCUAAUAGCAUUAAGGGAUUAUUUAUAGCUGCCCCAACGAGUCUUCUACAUCAAGUAAUCGCAUCUAAUUGUGGUCAAGUCUGCAUGCAGUUCGCUCUCUACUGAAGUGCUGCAUUAUUUACAUAGAGCUCUCGCCUUAACGAGUUGAUGUUUGCUUUCAAUUUGUGUGGCUUACGUCGCCCCUUCAGCUAUGCCUGGCCAAUUAUACAAAAUUUUUAAGACAACAAUCAUUUUUAAUGGCCAUCGGAACUAAGGAAGGCCGUGCUGGGGCAUGGGGAGAGCAUAGAAAAUAGCAUGGGUUGCAUGCCUGAUUGCCUUGCGGCAGGAUACUUGACUGGCCUGGACGCUUAAGCAGAUUGAAACAAUCUCCGGUGUGUGCGGUGCAAAAUGGCGGCUCUGGCGCUUCCGCUGCAUUGAUUUUUGGCUGUCAUGCAUGCAGCUUGGCUGACAAUUGGCAUAAAUUAUGAACAGCAGGAGCAGCAGCAGCAGCAGCAGCAGGAGCAGGAGGAGACUUUGCCGCUGAAAUUGAAAAUUAAGGGGCAGGCUAAGUGGAGCGGGCAGCGGACGUCGCUUGAGUCAAGUAAAUAACAAUCAAAAUCACUUUCGACCCCCAGACGAUUUAUUUGGAGGGACUGAAACAGCAUUAGAGCAGCGCAGAGCAGGCGGAGUCGCCGGAGUCGCUGGAGACAUCUGAAGGCAUCUGGAAUCACAACUAUGAGGCCUUAAUCGCUAGGGCCAGCCUCAUCGCCGUCGUCAGAUCGUCAGAGCGAACAGCCAUGCCUGCCCUCAGUCCGCAGUCCGCAGUCCUUAGCCGCUCGUCUGUCAGCUGCGACGGCCUAAGGCUAUUUUAUUGUUCGAUAAGUUAUCAGCGGUCGAGCAAACAAGCAGCCGAGCAAAAGCAAACGUUGCGGCUAAAACUUGACUGGGUCGGCAUGCCGGACUCGUACUCUGAUUCCGACUCCGACUCUAGCUCUGACUCCGACUCUGACUCUUGGGCAGGCAGUGGGAUUCGAGCUGGGACUGGGACUGGCUCUCACGAUAUCAUAAUUUCACUCGCUCUGAAAGUAACUAUGUUUAUGUUUUGUACGAGCUGCCUAAAUCUAAAUUAAAUGCCUUUUGAGCACAGCAAAAAAAAUGAGAGAGUUGAUCGGACAGACAACGAAUAGUAGUUACCCUUUGGAUAGAGUAAAUGUAAACUGUAUGGAAAAGUGCAGAGGUCGAGUUUAAAAGAGUUAAAAACAGACAGAGAAGAAAUAGGAGAGGAGAGAAUGAGGUGCGAUAGGAGUUGAGAGGAGAGCUAAGAUGAGAUAUUAAACAUGACUGCAUGCGGAUGGGAUAGGAUGUUUGUAAGUAUGUAUGUAUGUA